This 119-nucleotide ribosomal RNA is filed under the name Oncorhynchus mykiss (rainbow trout). The record is from RNAcentral. Lineage: Eukaryota; Metazoa; Chordata; Actinopteri; Salmoniformes; Salmonidae.
GCUUACGGCCACACCGGCCUGAGUACGCCUGAUCUCGUCCGAUCUUGGAAGCUAAGCAGGGUCGGGCCUGGUUAGUACUUGGAUGGGAGACCACCUGGGAAUACCAGGUGCUGUAAGCU